Meriones unguiculatus (Mongolian gerbil) is the source of this 3432-nucleotide long non-coding RNA. RefSeq lists it as uncharacterized. The record is from RefSeq and is a predicted model, not a curated record. The transcript has 3 exons. NCBI's taxonomy places the organism in Eukaryota, Metazoa, Chordata, Mammalia, Rodentia, Muridae.
GGAGCUGCCAUCUAUUCUGCAGUGGCAGAACGGUGAUGAGGAGGGUGACCAGAAAUGUAUCUGUAGGAGACACUUCAACAGAAGAGUCCUGACUAAAGGCACUAAGCUAUCAUCUUGAAGGAUGGGGACUGUCAGUCCACUGAAGACUUUAAGAGAACAAAAGAGCAGAGGAAGAGAGGACUCUUGCCUGACUACUCAAGCUGGGGUACCACCAUCUGUGACAUUUCCACCUCGACCAAAAGAAAAUAUUUUCAACCAAAGCAUAGAAAAAAACUUCCCCUACCUAAAGAAAGAAACACCUAUAAACAUAAAAGAUGCCUACAGAAUACCAAAUAGAUUUGACCAGAAAGAAAAUACUCUUGUCACACAGUAAUCAAAACACUAAAAGUACAGAACAAAGAAAGAAUAUUAAAAGCUGCAUGGGAAAAAGGCCAAGUCAAACCUAUCAGAAUUACACCUGACUUCUGAAAAGAAACUAUGAAAGCGAAAAGGGCCUGGAAAGAUUCAUGCAGACACUAAGAGAACAUGGAUGUCAACCCAGACUACUAUACACAGCAAAGUUUCAAUUGCCAUAGAUGGUGAAAACAAGAUAUUCCAUGACAAAACCAUGUUUAAACAGUGCCUAGCCACAAAUCCAGCUCUGCAGAAGAUGCUAGAAGGAAAACUCCAACCCCAGGAGGCUAAAUACAACAGGGACAACACAGGAAACAAAUAACUCUACAACUGCAGAACCAAAAGAAAGGAAGCACACACACAUUCUCUACCACUAACAACAUAAAAAUAACAGGAAGUAACAACAACUUUAAUAUCUCUCAAAAUCAAUGGCCUCAACUCCCCAAUAAAAAGACACAGGCUAACCGAAUGGAUAUAUAAAUAGGACCCAUCAUUCUACUGCAUACAAGAAACACCUCUCAGCAAUAAUGAUAGACAUUACCUCAAAAUAAAGUGUUAGAAAAGGUUUUUCAAGCAAACGGACAAAAAAAAAAAAAACAAAAAAAAAACAAAAAAAAAAACAAGCUGAAGGAGCUAUUCUAAUAUCUGAUUAAAUAGACUUUCAACCAAAAUUAAUAAGAGAUGGGGCCGGCACUUCAUACUCAUCAAAGGAAAGAUCAACCAAGAUGACAUCUGAAUUCUGAACAUCUAUCCCCCAAAUGCAAUGGCACUCACAUUUGUAAAAUAAACAUUACUAAAGCUUAAAUCACACAUUAAACCCCAUAUGUUCAUAGUAGGAGACUUCAACAUACCUCUCUCCACAAUGGGCAGAUAUCAUGGAGACAGAAACUCGACAGAGAAAUUAGGAAACUAACCAACAUUACGAAUCAAUUGGACCUAACAAACAUCAACAGAUCAUUCCGUCCAAAUACAAAAGAAUAUACCUUCUUCUCAGCACCUCACAGAAACUUCUCUAAAACUGACCACAUCCUUGGACACAAAGUAAGCCUCAAAAAAUACAAGAAAAUUGAAAUAACACUUUGUGUUCUAGCAGACUACCAUGGAUUAAAAUUAGACUUCAACAACAACAGAAACAGUAGAAUGUCUACAAACUCAUGGUAACUGAACAAUAUUCUACUUAGUGACACUGGGUCAGGGAAUGAAUAAAGAAGGAAAUUAAAGACUUUCUAGAAUUCAAUGAAAAUGAUGGCACAACAUACCAAAACUCUGAGACACAAUGAAAGCAGUGGUAAAAGUUCAGAGGACUAAAAGCCUUCAUAAAAAAUGUGUAGAGAGCUCAUACUAGCAACUUAAAAGCUCACCUGAAAACUAUAUAUAUAUAUAUAUAUAUAUAUAUAUAUAUAUAUAUAGGAAUCAAACACACCCAAGAGGAAAUAAUCAAACACAGGACUGAAAUCAAUAAUCCAGAAACAAAGAGAACAAUACAAAGGAUUAACAAAACCAAUAGCUGCAUUUCUUUUUUUUGUUUUGUUUUUAGAAAAUCAACAAGAUAGAAAAAUGUUUAACCAAACUAACUGAAAGAGAGAGGGAUAGUAUCCAAAUCAAAAAACUCAGAAAAGAAAAGUGGGCUAUAACAACAGACACCAAGGAAAUCCAAAGAAUCAUUAGACCACACUUCAAAAAUCUGAAUGCCACAAAAUUGGAAAAUCUAAAUGAAAUGAAUGCUUUUCUUGAUAGAUACCACUUACUAAAGUUAAAUGAAGACCAGGUUAACAAUUUAAAUAAACCUAUAACCCCUAAGGAAAGAGAAGCAGUCUUCAGAAGCAUCCUAACCAAGAAAAGCCCUGGGCAAGGUGGUUUGAGCACAGAAUUCUACCAGACUUUCAAUGAAGUGCUAACACCAAUACUCCUUAGACUAUCCCACAAAAUAGAAACAGCAAAGUGUCUGGAUACAAAAUUAACUCAAAAAAGUCAGUAACCCUCCUUUAUACAAGGUACAAAAGGACUGAGAAAGAAAUAAGGAAACAACAUCCUUCACAAUAGCCACAAAUAAUAUAAAAUAUCUUGGUAUAAUGCUACCCAAGCAAGUGAAAGGCUUGUAUGACAAGAACUUCAACUCUUUGAAGAAAGAAGCUGAAGAAAAUUUUAGAAGAUGGAAACAUCUCCAAUGCUUGUGGAUCAGUUGGAUUAACAGUAAAAUGGUCAUCCUGCCAAACCCCACCAAUGCAAUUCCGAUCAAAAUUCUAAGACAAUUCUUUACAUACCUGGAAAGAACAACCAUUAACUUUAUACAGAAAAAUAAAAAAGCCACUAUGGCAAAAACAAUUCUGUACAAUAAAAGAAUUUCUGGCGAUAUCAACAUCCCUUAUUUUAAAGCUAUGUUUCAGAGCAAUAGUAAAAAACAAAAACAAAAACAAAAAAACCACACACACACACAUACACAUACAACAACAAAAAACUGAAUGGUAUUGGCAUAGAAACAGACAGGUUGAUCAAAUAAACACACACUCCUAUGGGUACUUGAUUUUAGACAAAGAAGCCAAAACCAUCCUCUAGCUGAGACUCCUAACAGGGGUGUCGGGGAGGGGGACAUGAAGACUGAAGUGACCACCUCCUAUUCAGGUGGGAAUAGUGGAAGAAGGGGACCAACAGUCCACCAACAAAACCUGUGAUCCAAAAUCACCCUGCCUACAAGAAGUGUAGUGAUAAAGAAGGAACACAGAUUGAGGGACUGUCCAACCAAUAAUUGGUCCAACCUGAGACCCACCCUGAGGUAGAGAGCCAGGCCCUAAUAUUAGUAAUGAUGCUCUGCUAUGUCUGCAGACAGGAGCCUAACUUGACUGUCAUCUGGGAGGCUCCAGCCAGCAGCAGAUCAUUGAGACAGAUGCUGGGCCUUGCAGCCAAGCAUGGGGCAGAGCUCUGGGGGUCCCGUGGAAGUGUUGCAGAAAAGGUGAAAGGACCUGGAGGAGACAGGAAUCUCACAAGAAGACAGAGACUUCUUACCCAGAGACAACUUACCCAGACCCAUGGAAGAUUAGA